Molecule: ribosomal RNA, 723 nt
Filed under: uncultured bacterium
Lineage: Bacteria
Description: bacterial SSU rRNA
Rfam family: Bacterial small subunit ribosomal RNA
Source: RNAcentral
AUUAGAUACCCUGGUAGUCCACACUGUAAACGAUGGAUACUAGGUGUAGGGGGUAUUAAGCCUUCUGUGCCGUCGCAAACGCAGUAAGUAUCCCACCUGGGGAGUACGACCGCAAGGUUGAAACUCAAAGGAAUUGACGGGGGCCCGCACAAGCAGUGGAGUAUGUGGUUUAAUUCGAAGCAACGCGAAGAACCUUACCUGGCCUUGACAUCCCGAUGAAUACAGGGCAAUGCCUGUAGUACUUCGGUACAUUGGAGACAGGUGGUGCAUGGUUGUCGUCAGCUCGUGUCGUGAGAUGUUGGGUUAAGUCCCGCAACGAGCGCAACCCUUACCCCCAGUAGCCAGCAUAUAAGGUGGGAACUCUGGGGGGACUGCCGGGGACAACCCGGAGGAAGGUGGGGAUGACGUCAAAUCAUCAUGCCCCUUAUGCCCGGGGCGACACACGUGCUACAAUGGCGUAAACAGAGGGAGGCGAACCCGCGAGGGGGAGCAAAACCCAAAAAUAACGUCCCAGUUCGGAUUGCAGGCUGCAACCCGCCUGCAUGAAGCCGGAAUCGCUAGUAAUCGCGGAUCAGAAUGCCGCGGUGAAUGCGUUCCCGGGUCUUGUACACACCGCCCGUCACACCAUGGGAGCCGGGAAUGCCCGAAGUCAGCGGCCUAACCGCAAGGGGGGAGCUGCCGAAGGCAGGCCUGGUAACUGGGGUGAAGUCGUAACAAGGUACC